CCUACGGGAGGCAGCAGUGGGGAAUAUUGCACAAUGGGGGAAACCCUGAUGCAGCGACGCCGCGUGAGUGAUGAAGUAUUUCGGUAUGUAAAGCUCUAUCAGCCGGGAAGAAAAUGACGGUACCUGAUUCAGAAGCCCCGGCUAACUACGUGACAGCAGCCGCGGUACUACGUAGGGGGCAAGCGUUAUCCGGAUUUACUGGGUGUAAAGGGAGCGUAGACGGCAGCGCAAGUCUGAAGUGAAAUGCCGGGGCUUAACCCCGGAACUGCUGUGGAAACUGUGCGGCUAGAGUGCAGGAGAGGUAAGUGGAAUUCCGAGUGUAGCGGUGAAAUGCGUAGAUAUUAGGAGGAACACCAGUGGCGAAGGCGGCUUACUGGACUGUAACUGACGUUGAGGCUCGAAAGCGUGGGGAGCAAACAGGAUUAGAUACCCCUGUAGUC
RNAcentral lists this ribosomal RNA (440 nucleotides) under uncultured bacterium. Its description in RNAcentral is "partial 16S ribosomal RNA". It matches the Rfam family "Bacterial small subunit ribosomal RNA", at positions 338 to 795 of the family's 1533-position model. The record is from RNAcentral.